RNAcentral lists this ribosomal RNA (264 nucleotides) under Triticum aestivum (bread wheat). RNAcentral's name for it is "partial small subunit ribosomal RNA". The record is from RNAcentral. Lineage: Eukaryota; Viridiplantae; Streptophyta; Magnoliopsida; Poales; Poaceae.
UCUAGAACUUUCCAAUUACGAGUACGAGAAUUGAAAGACAUGAAAAUUCUCAAUUCUCUAUGGCGUCUAGUAGAUAGAAACAAGAAAAUCAGAAGAAUCUUUCUCUCUAUUCACUAUCAUUCCGCGUCUUCGACUUCUAUUAGUUUCUUUUCUUAUGAACUGGUGCGCUCGUGUACAACCGGUACGCUCCAUGUACGUACCCCUUCUCAAACUUGCAUGGCCAUGCAGUGCAGUUGCACCCACGUACACAUUGAGCUAGCUUAA